This is a long non-coding RNA of Bombus impatiens (common eastern bumble bee), 1260 nucleotides long. RefSeq lists it as uncharacterized. The record is from RefSeq and is a predicted model, not a curated record. The transcript has 3 exons. Lineage: Eukaryota; Metazoa; Arthropoda; Insecta; Hymenoptera; Apidae.
GUUAAGGUUCGCACACACGAAAAUCAGUGGGGACGCGGCCUGUGCACGUGUAGAAAGAGAGAGGGGCGAAGGGAGUCGAACACGGCCGAAGGUGAAACCCGCGAGCCGUCGUAGUCUCGCAGUCGGCGCGAGACCGCGCUACUGGAAGGGUCGGUGUGUUGUCAUAUAUGUGAAUGUACGCAAACGCCUCUCUCAGAUUCUCUCUUUCCACCGCACUCACCUUAUAUUCACCUCACUCGCACGAGAAUACCGACAACGACAAACAAAACCAUUAGACGACAGAGUAUAGGAGAAAACGCGCGAGGAAAGAAGAGACGAAGUUGGCUGCGUGUCGCGAACCACCCCUUCCCGCUCGCCGAGUGACCGAAGCAGAGAAACAGUUUUUUUUCUCAUCUCGUACGUAGAGGAGAGACGACCGCGUUCGCAAACCGCGUCCAAAAGUUAAGUACACGCGAUCGAAAUUUUCAUAUCCAUUUACAGCGUCGCUGUACGACAAUUUACACAGUACGAUAUCAACACGGUGAGCCAGGGGUGUGAUCUUAGAGAAGAGAAGUUACACGAUCGGUUGGAUACCGACGGACCGAAGAAGUCUGUGAUCUCGAUGUGCCUGGUUGUAUAUUGUUUACGAAACGUAUCGGUUCGUAGCGUGUUUAUGCGCAGCUCACGAACAGAACUGGGAAGAAGUGCGUUCGCAGGAACGUGUGUGUUUACCGAGCAAAGGAUACGCUUUUGACGACUUUGAUCGUCGAUCAACGAGGAACUUUUCCUCUUUAAAAUCGUAGUGCCAUUUUGUUUAAUGAAAUUAAAGUAGUGAGAGACAGAAAAACGAGUGUCGUGCCGCUGUAUUACCGUUUAGAUAGGAAAACGAAAAAGGAAAGAUAACAGGGGCGCAGCGUGGAUUGUGUGUGAUAUUCCAUCUACGAUCGAUCAUCGUAGUAUUACUGGUGUUGAUUGUUGUUCGAUAGUCGUCUAUAUCUACCGCCCGAGUUGUGUUAACGACCGUGUAAAGAAACUCGUUGCGACGGCUCGGAGACGAUCGCUACUGUGAUAACGAACGAUAUUCGUUUUGAAAUUAUGUUCAGUGCCUGCCUCUGUGAUCCGUGACAUUACUACCGUCGGAAGUAUACCUCGAAACCGUCGACUAGAUCACCACGUUUAAGUGUCAGAACAGAAGGAGUUGAAUUUUGAAAGCAUCGGAUGCGCGGGAGCCUUUAACGAUCACCGGGACGAGGUGGGAGGCAGUACGGUGGUAGCCGAGGG